Small nucleolar RNA from Vulpes vulpes (red fox), 73 nucleotides. The record is from Ensembl. Lineage: Eukaryota; Metazoa; Chordata; Mammalia; Carnivora; Canidae.
UGGACCACCAGUGAUGAUGGAUGGUAUAUGAAUCAUAUAUGAUGGAGACAUUUUCUGGAGCUCUGAGGUUCCA